Molecule: ribosomal RNA, 253 nt
Filed under: uncultured bacterium
Lineage: Bacteria
Description: partial 16S ribosomal RNA
Rfam family: Bacterial small subunit ribosomal RNA
Source: RNAcentral
UACAGAGGGUGCAAACGUUGCUCGGAAUUAUUGGGCGUAAAGCGCGUGUAGGCGGCUUGUUAAGUCGGUUGUGAAAACCCAUGGCUCAACCAUGGAAGUGCGUCCGAAACUGGCAAGCUCGAGUCUUGACGAGGAUGGCGGAAUUCCCAGUGUAGAGGUGAAAUUCGUAGAUAUUGGGAGGAACACCGGUGGCGAAGGCGGCCAUCUGGGAAGGUACUGACGCUGAGACGCGAAAGCGUGGGGAGCAAACAGG